RNAcentral lists this ribosomal RNA (503 nucleotides) under uncultured bacterium. RNAcentral's name for it is "partial 16S ribosomal RNA". It matches the Rfam family "Bacterial small subunit ribosomal RNA", at positions 30 to 523 of the family's 1533-position model. The record is from RNAcentral.
AUUGAACGCUGGCGGCAGGCUUAACACAUGCAAGUCGAGCGGGGUGAUGGUGCUUGCACUAUCACUUAGCGGCGGACGGGUGAGUAAUGCUUAGGAAUCUGCCUAUUAGUGGGGGACAACAUCUCGAAAGGGAUGCUAAUACCGCAUACGUCCUACGAGAGAAAGCAGGGGAUCACUUGUGACCUUGCGCUAAUAGAUGAGACUAAGUCGGAUUAGCUAGUUGGUGGGGUCAAGGCCUACCAAGGCGACGAUCUGUAGCGGGUCUGAGAGGAUGAUCCGGCACACUGGGACUGAGCCACGGCCCAGACUCCUACGGGUGGCAGCAGUGGGGAAUAUUGGACAAUGGGGGGAACCCUGAUCCAGCCAUGCCGCGUGUGUGAAGAAGGCCUUAUGGUUGUAAAGCACUUUAAGCGAGGAGGAGGCUCUUUUGGUUAAUACCCAAGAUGAGUGGACGUUACUCGCAGAAUAAGCACCGGCUAACUCUGUGCCAGCCGCCGCCGUAA